This 254-nucleotide ribosomal RNA is filed under the name uncultured bacterium. Its description in RNAcentral is "partial 16S ribosomal RNA". It matches the Rfam family "Bacterial small subunit ribosomal RNA", at positions 107 to 354 of the family's 1533-position model. The record is from RNAcentral.
UGAGUAACACGUGAGUGACCUGCCUUUUAGACUGGAACAACUUACCGAAAGGUGAGCUAAUGCCGGAUGAGUUAUAUAAGUGCAUGUUUAUAUAGGAAAAGUUGGGGAGACCUGACGCUGAAAGAUGGACCCGCGUCCCAUUAGCUAGUUGGUAGGGUAAUGACCUACCAAGGCGACGAUGGGUAGCCGGCCUGAGAGGGUGGCCGGCCACACUGGGACUGAGACACGGCCCAGACUCCUACGGAAGGCAGCAG